UAAAUUGUUGGGCAGUUGUGAUAACUGU
Molecule: non-coding RNA, 28 nt
Filed under: Rattus norvegicus (Norway rat)
Lineage: Eukaryota; Metazoa; Chordata; Mammalia; Rodentia; Muridae
Source: RNAcentral